UAUAUAUGUAUAUAUGUGUGUGUGUGUGUGUGUGUGUGUAUAUAUAUAUAUACACACACACAUAUAUAUACAUAUAUA
Non-coding RNA from Podarcis lilfordi (Lilford's wall lizard), 78 nucleotides. The record is from the annotation of a GenBank genome assembly. Lineage: Eukaryota; Metazoa; Chordata; Lepidosauria; Squamata; Lacertidae.